Molecule: non-coding RNA, 143 nt
Organism: Canis lupus familiaris (dog)
Lineage: Eukaryota; Metazoa; Chordata; Mammalia; Carnivora; Canidae
Source: Rfam
AGCUUUGCGCAGUGGCAGUAUCGUAGCCAAUGAGGUUUAUCCGAGGCGCGAUUAUUGCUAAUUGAAAGAAUAAAAGCACCACCUAAAGUACCACAUCCUAUUUGGAAUUAAAAUCUAAAUACUAUAUGUGAAAAAUGAAUUAU